AAAGAUAUCAUACUAAAACUAGUCCUAUCAAUUUUGGAAAAGAAAAGGAAAAACGUUCGACUACCUACUAACCUACCUCCCCACCCAUACCCUACCUAAUCACCUACUAUCAAUUUUGGAAAAGAAAAGGAAAAAUGUUCGACUACCUACCAACCUACCUCCCCACCCAUACCCUACCUAAUCACCUCUCCUACUACUUAUGAGGCCUACUUCUACUUCUCUGCAUACCCUUUAAGGACAACCUCUCACCCCUCUUAAUUGGGAUAUUUGUGAUUUCUCCUUUUCACAUGCUCGAACCAUCUUAACUUUUUGGUAAUAAAAAGAUCUUAAAAGACAGACUUUAACUUUUUGGAAUUGAGGUUAGCCGAUUGAUUAAUCAAACAACCACAUUAGUUGGGAGUAAAUGUUUUAGCAUCUAGAGUCAUCGAUCGCC
This 433-nucleotide long non-coding RNA is filed under the name Nicotiana benthamiana. RNAcentral's name for it is "long non-coding RNA (NBEN_LNC027493)". Lineage: Eukaryota; Viridiplantae; Streptophyta; Magnoliopsida; Solanales; Solanaceae. The record is from RNAcentral.